This is a long non-coding RNA of Cucumis sativus (cucumber), 369 nucleotides long. RefSeq lists it as uncharacterized. The record is from RefSeq and is a predicted model, not a curated record. The transcript is spliced from 3 exons. NCBI's taxonomy places the organism in Eukaryota, Viridiplantae, Streptophyta, Magnoliopsida, Cucurbitales, Cucurbitaceae.
UAAUUGCAAAUUACUCAGAGCUUGGAUUGUCUCCUCCAGUUUGUUAAAGGAAAGCUACCGGGAAGGCAGAUUUGUUGACGAGUUGCCUUACAUACUAAAUGAUGAUGACUACAUAUCGAAGUAUCGAGCCAGCCUAAAAGUUGUAGUUCUCAGGGCAAAAGCAUGUUCUUGAGCUUUAUUUGAAGGGUAUGAUGUUUGCAUAUCAGCUCACGCUCAACCACCACCUAAAACUCUAUCCCUGAUAGUCAAGUCAGCCGGUGGAAAUGUGAUUCAUGAGCUAGAUAAAGUAAACAACGUAUGGAAGACGAGCUUUGUGGCUUGUGAGGAAGACGUGGAGGAAGCCUUGGUGGCGUAGAAAAAGGGAUAUGG